UAGGGAAUCUUCGGCAAUGGACGAAAGUCUGACCGAGCAACGCCGCGUGAGUGAAGAAGGUUUUCGGUAUCGUAAACUCUGUUGUUAGAGAAGAACAAGGGUGAGAGUAACUGUUCACCCCUUGACGGUAUCUAACCAGAAAGCCACGGCUAACUACGUGCCAG
Molecule: ribosomal RNA, 164 nt
Filed under: uncultured bacterium
Lineage: Bacteria
Description: partial 16S rRNA
Rfam family: Bacterial small subunit ribosomal RNA
Source: RNAcentral